Molecule: ribosomal RNA, 541 nt
Filed under: uncultured Anaerolineaceae bacterium
Lineage: Bacteria; Bacillati; Chloroflexota; Anaerolineae; Anaerolineales; Anaerolineaceae
Description: bacterial SSU rRNA
Rfam family: Bacterial small subunit ribosomal RNA
Source: RNAcentral
GCCGCGUGUGCGAAGAAGGUCUUCGGAUCGUAAAGCACUUUUGACAGGGAAGAGGAAGGACAGUACCUGUAGAAUAAGCUUCGGCUAACUACGUGCCAGCAGCCGCGGUAACACGUAGGAAGCGAGCGUUAUCCGGAUUUACUGGGCGUAAAGCGCGUGCAGGCGGGCUAGAAAGUUAGAUGUGAAAUCUCCUGGCUUAACUGGGAGAGGUCGUCUAAAACUACUAGUCUGGAGUGUGAGAGAGGGAGGCAGAAUUCCGAGUGUAGUGGUGAAAUGCGUAGAUAUUCGGAGGAAUACCAGAGGCGAAGGCGGCCUCCUGGCUCACAACUGACGCUGAGACGCGAAAGCUAGGGUAGCAAACGGGAUUAGAGACCCCGGUAGUCCUAGCUGUAAACGAUGUAGACUGGGCGUUGGCGAUGUAAAAGUCGUCAGUGUCGAAGCUAACGCGAUAAGUCUACCGCCUGGGGAUUACGGCCGCAAGGCUAAAACUCAAAGGAAUUUGACGGGGACCCGCACAAGCAGCGGAGCGUGUGGUUUAAUU